GAUGAACGCUGGCGGCGUGCCUAAUACAUGCAAGUCGAGCGAACAGACGAGGAGCUUGCUCCUCUGACGUUAGCGGCGGACGGGUGAGUAACACGUGGAUAACCUACCUAUAAGACUGGGAUAACUUCGGGAAACCGGAGCUAAUACCGGAUAAUAUAUUGAACCGCAUGGUUCAAUAGUGAAAGACGGUUUUGCUGUCACUUAUAGAUGGAUCCGCGCCGCAUUAGCUAGUUGGUAAGGUAACGGCUUACCAAGGCAACGAUGCGUAGCCGACCUGAGAGGGUGACCGGCCACACUGGAACUGAGACACGGUCCAGACUCCUACGGGAGGCAGCAGUAGGGAAUCUUCCGCAAUGGGCGAAAGCUUGACGGAGCAACGCCGCGUGAGUGAUGAAGGUCUUCGGAUCGUAAAACUCUGUUAUUAGGAAAGAACAAAUGUGUAAGUAACUAUGCACGUCUUGACGGUACCUAAUCAGAAAGCCACGGCUAACUACGUG
This 497-nucleotide ribosomal RNA is filed under the name uncultured bacterium. Its description in RNAcentral is "partial 16S ribosomal RNA". It matches the Rfam family "Bacterial small subunit ribosomal RNA", at positions 28 to 507 of the family's 1533-position model. The record is from RNAcentral.